Sciurus carolinensis (gray squirrel) is the source of this 3429-nucleotide long non-coding RNA. RefSeq lists it as uncharacterized. The record is from RefSeq and is a predicted model, not a curated record. NCBI's taxonomy places the organism in Eukaryota, Metazoa, Chordata, Mammalia, Rodentia, Sciuridae. The transcript has 3 exons.
GGCACGGGGCACAGGCAAGAAUGCACGUUCUGGCUCAUUAGGGAUUUAAAACACAAGUAGAAGAAGCUGAAUUCUAUGGCAGCAGGCUAUGCUGUAUUUUUAGAAAGGAGAAAGGAAAUGGCAUGAAUCCAGAAGAAAACAUAACAAUCCAAACAAAAAGUAUGGAAAAGAGCGAGUAUGGAAAAGGAGUAAGAAAAAGUUACAAGAGAAGAUGUUUAAAAUGACAUUAUAAGGACAGAAGAGAAGCAGUCUGGAACCAUAUGCUGUUCAGACCCAGAGCUGCCGAGCUAAAGAAGAGGUCUGAAGCAAGCCUGGGCUAUCCCUACAACGCUCUUCUGUUGAGCCCACACAAGAAAAUAGCCUGCAAAAAAAGGAAACAACACUCAAGGCAGGAAUAACAGAAUCCAGAAUCCACAGUCUGACAUCAUAGGAUCCAAACGUGACUCAAAGUGCAGAGAAACAGGUACAUGGAACACACCUUCUAGAGAGAAGAAAACCAAUGGAAUCCAUCCUGGAGAUGCACCAAGGUUACAGCCAACAGAAGCAUGUUUUGAAGUGACUUUUGGAACUAAAUGAAAUAAAGCAUGACUUGAGUGAGGGCUGGGGUUGUGGCUCAGUGGUGAGUGCUUGCCUAGCACAUAUGAGGCACUGAAUUUGACUCUCAGCACGGCAUAGAAAUAAAUGAAGGUGUCUACAACUAAAAAUAUAAUAAGAGAAAAACAACAACUUGAAUGAGAAAAACACUCUAGAAAAAUGGUAAAUCUUAGCAGAGAAAUAGAAGCAAUAAAACAGGGCCAAAUGGAAAUUAUAACCCUUAAAAAUAUGAUUUCUGAAAUUAAAAGUUUACUGAAGUUGAGUGCAGGGGCACCUGUGAUCCCAGUAACUUGAGUGUCUAAGACAAGUUCAAGGCCAGCCUUAACUUAGCGGGGCCUUAAGCAGCUCACUGAGACCCUGUCUCAAAAUAAAAAGGACUGGUAGAGUGCCCCUGGGUAACACACACGGUUCACUGGAGGGAUUUUACAGCUGGAGGCCAUGACAGAAGGAAGAAUAUUGGAAAAGAGUCACUGGAUAGAUAGAUAAAUGAUAGGUAGGUAGAUAGACAGGAGAUUUCUAAGGAUAAGGAAAAAAGAAAAGAUUAAAGAUACAAUGAAGAACAAGAAUCUCAGGGAACUGCUAGAGAACAUAAAAUGUUCAAACAUUAGUGUAAUCACAACCCCAAAGGACAGGAGGGAAAACAAGACCAAAAAAUGUGCUUGAAGAAAUAGUGGCCCAAAAUUUCCAAAUUUGAUGAUAGAACGUCACAAAUGCAAGAUGCUAGACUAACUGCCAGCACAGUGAACGUGAAGAAGCCCCCACUAGACACAACCCACUGCUGAAAGCCAGGGACAGCGUUCAGCCUCAGCCUCAGGAGAAUAAGGGCUUGAGUUGUGACCAACUUCUUAGAAACCAUGGAGCCAGAAAACAGUAGGACAACAUUUUUAAAUUGCUGAAGGAAAAAAUACUAUGUAAUCAGAAAUUCUAUAUCCAGAAAAAUGUGUUUCAAGGAUAAAAUCAAAGACUUUUUCAGAUAAAAGUGAGAACUCCUCGCCCACAGAAUCACUAAGGGGACAUCUGCAGAUGGAGGGACAUGACAUCAGACAAACCCCAAGCACCUUACCCUGAAGAGUGUUAGAAAUGGACCUGGGUAAAUGCAGAUGACCUCCUUUCCUGAAGUUGUUUUCUUAAUUGUUUCAUAAAUCAUAUAAUUGUUCACAGAAAAAUUAUUUUCUUGUAAGGUUUAUAAGGCAUGUAGAUACGGUACAGGUAAUAACAACAGAAGCAACCGAGAAACACUGGCACAUUGUGUUCCUUAGCAACCCCUAAAAGAAGGCAAAGACCCACAACCAAGAUGCCAACAGGAAAAUGGAAAUGGGAUUCUAAGAAGCACACAGAUCAGUUAAAAGUUAACAGGUGGGAAAAAGACAAACCACAUAAACCAUAAGCUUAAAAAGGUCAAAGGAGGUCAGGUAUGGUGGCCACAUCUGUAAUCCCAGUGACUCGGGAGGCUGAGGCAGGAGGAUUGCAAGUCAAGGCCAGUCUUGACAACUAAGCGAGACCCUGUCCCAAAAUAAAAAACUAUAAUGGCAAGGGAUGUGGCUCAGAGGUAAAGCACCCUUGGGUUCGAUCCCCAGCACCAAGAAAAAGGUCAAAUUGGCUUAUAUUAAUAUUGGACAAAUCUUAAAACAAAAUCUCACCAGGAAUAAACAGGGACACUUCACAGUGAUGGAGGAUAAAAUUCACCAUGAAGAUGUAAUGUUCAUAAAUGUAUAUUUUCCCAGUGAAAAAUUUUCAAAUAAAGCAAAACAUGGACAGAAUUAAAGGAAGACAGAAAAUUCCACAAUCAGAAUUGGAAAUGUGAACACUCUUAUCUCAGCAAUGACUAACCCAACUAUACAAUAAUUAGCAAAGACAUGGAGUCUAGUAAAAGCAAUGUUUGAAGGGAAAUGAAAAGUGUUAAAUGCCUAGAUCGGAAAAUAGCAAAAAUCUUAAAUCCAAUAUGUAAGCUUCCACUUUAAGAGACUAGAAAAAGAUGAGCAAAUUAAACCUAAAGCCAGGAGGAAAAAAGGAAAUAAUAAAGAUAAGAGAAGCAUUAAAAGAAAAUAGUACAGAAUAUCAAUGAAAUCAAGAUCUGGUUCCUUGAAAAGAUUAAUAAAAUUGAUAAUUAUCAUAGGUUAUUACAGAAUAAGAAGAGUGUGCUAUGAAUGACUCAGUGGCAACCAACCUGGCAGCCCACAUGGAAUGGCAAAGUCCUUGAAAAACACAAAUUGCCAAACUUAUCUAAGAAAACUAUAAACUUUGAACAAUCCUAAAUUGAAUUUAUUAAAAAAAGAAAAAAAGAAAAGCGCUUCCCAUAAAGCCAACUCUAGGCUGACAUGGCCUCAGUAGGAAAUGCUGCCCUUGGCUAAGGGAAGAAAUAGCAUCAAUCCUACAAGGACUCUUUCAGGAUUUCAGGAAGUAGAGGCAACACUUCGAUGUGCUUUAUGACACUUCUGUCAUCCUGACUCCAAACCAGACAAAGACCUUACAAGAAAAGGUAAGUACAGACCCACAUCCCUCAAGAUCAUAGACGCAAAAAUCCAUAACAAAAUAUCAAUCAAACCAUAUAGAAAAAGAAGGAGCAAGUGGGGCAUAUUUUUAAGAAUAUAUGUUGAGUUUAGCAUACGAAAAUCAAUACGAUUCACCACAUUGAAGCAAUAAAAAAGAAAGCUAUAUUUACCAUCACAACAGAUAAAGGAAAAAGCAUUGGAUAAAAUUCAAUGCUCCUUCCUUCUUGACAAAACCUCUCAGAAACCUAGAAAAAGAAGUCAACUUUCAAAACCUACUUAAGAGUUUCUUGGGACUGGGGCUGUAGCCCAAGGCAGAGCGUUUGUUUGCCUAGCAUGUGUGAGG